Molecule: long non-coding RNA, 476 nt
Organism: Dermacentor albipictus
Lineage: Eukaryota; Metazoa; Arthropoda; Arachnida; Ixodida; Ixodidae
Source: RefSeq, a predicted model, not a curated record
UGCUUCUUUAUGAAAAUAUUUUCUUUUCGGACAUCAUGACGGACAUUUUAGUGAAAUGCUUUAACGACGAUAAGUGGGACGUUUAUCCGGUGAAGUGGUUGGCUCACCCAACAACUAGUCUUCUACUGAUGUGCGAGCCUGACGGUUUUGAUGAGUUGCGCGGCAGAGGCUAUGAUGCCUGUUGGAGAGAAGGCACCCCGAAACAGUCGCAGCCGCACUUCUGAAGAUAGGUUACGUAUGCAGUAAAUUCCCAGAUGCUAAAGUGUUCUACGCCAAAAGCACCUUGGCGUCGUGCAAGAGACACCCGUUGAUAUGUGGCUGAUUCACUAGUGAAUGUGAUGCCUGAAAUGCAAAACGCAAGUUGCUCAUAAAGACCUUUCCUGAAGGCGGGCGGUAAACGCGCAGUGCCGCUUUCGAGAGAAGGCCGACCGUUUAUCCAUGUAGUUGUUUGUGGUUAAUUAAAGGCGACGCGGAUG